ACACCCACAUGCACUACAUGUGAGCCUUGGUGAGGUUCGAACCCUUGACCUAGUAAUAAGUUACCCUUGAGGAGAUGGUGCUUCUAAUGGUGUAUGUGAAUGUGAAGUUUGCUACUUGUGAUUGAUUUUGCUUGGUUUUGUUGAAGUGAGAACCUCAAAUAGGUCUUCAUCUUUGGUAAGUGUUCUACAUCUCUUCCAUAUUGGUGUAAACAAAGCAAUUCAAAUUCUCACUUUAUAGAUAGUCAAGAAUUUCAUUUUUUUUAGUUGAAUGUUGAUUUGCUCUCGGAUUUUCAUCAAUCAGUUUUUACUCAUUGAAUAUUUUAAGUUGAAACUUUUUGGGAUUGUGUGUUUCGAUGUUAGCUUUCUAAAAAGCUACCUCAUGUUGAAAUUGGACUAAAAUUUAGUUUCUUGUGGAUUUUUGAUUAGAAAGGGGUUCACUGCCUUGGCAAUUUUGUGUACUCCAAAAUUGCUCUCGGAUUUUCAUCAAUCAGUUUUUACUGGCUUCAUCUUUGAAGUUGAAACUUUUUGAGUUGUUUUUAUCGUGAUGUUAGCUUUCUAUAAAGCUAUCUUAUAUCAAAAUUGAAGUUGAUUUGAAUUUUUAGCGAGUUUUUGAUUA
Physcomitrium patens is the source of this 616-nucleotide non-coding RNA. The record is from RefSeq and is a predicted model, not a curated record. NCBI's taxonomy places the organism in Eukaryota, Viridiplantae, Streptophyta, Bryopsida, Funariales, Funariaceae.